AACCUUUCAGGACACCACUGGCACUGAUAAUUUGUUGGCUUUUCCACACAAAGACUGUGUUGACCGAAAUGAUUUGUUCAAAAAUAUAAAUAUUAACCAGCAUUUCUCGACACAGCUUUUAAAACCACACACUGGAAGUAAUGGUAAGGUUAAUGGAACAGAACAUUUCACUUGCUAAUGAAAGGACCGUGCGAUGAAUUUAUUUUUAGAAAGUACAUUGCAGUAUCAGUACAAAUAUAUUUGUCUUUAAUAUUAUUAAUAUUUAUAAUACCAAAGGUUUGACAUAUACCAGAUUUAAGUUUUAUUAGUGAAAUAUAUGGUGCCCGACUAUCAGUAUCAAGCUAACUGAAAAGUCAAGUUGAGCAUGAUACUCAUAUGCCAAUUAAAUUUCAUUUUAUAUACCCAAUAUAUUUUGUUGACAAGUAAAAUUAUCUGGCAAUAAACAAAGUAAAAUACCAGGAUGAGAAAAUGUAUUGAGAAAAUGAGAAAAGGUGUUUUGCCCAGAAUAACUUACUUUAUAAUUUACUCUGUCUAAUAUGCCAGACAAUUUUACUCAUCGUGGUAGGGUCUGCCUAAAAC
Non-coding RNA from Paramuricea clavata, 579 nucleotides. The record is from the annotation of a GenBank genome assembly. Lineage: Eukaryota; Metazoa; Cnidaria; Anthozoa; Malacalcyonacea; Plexauridae.